AAGUUUGAGCAAAAGGUAUAAAACUGUGAUCUCUCUACUCUUAGCCUAGCGACAAAAUCAAAGAGAGCGAGAGCUCGGAGAAGCCAUAGCUCGGUAAAACGACCACAGUUCCCAACAAAUGUGGAGCCUAAGGAAUAAGGAAUCAUGUCUAAACAAAAUUCAAAACAAAGCAUGGCAUCCAAAAGAGGAUCCGAACAUGAGCAGUGACAACUCAAAAAUCAAUGCUCAAUAAUCACCACCAUGACCCAUAACAAAGGUUCCUCGACGAAACCAUCCAAAAAACAGAGCAGUGACCCAUACCAGACAAGGAAGCCACCAGCAACAAGACUGCAUGUCCAAGGAUGUAGGAGAUGGUUGGAAUCUCAAAGCAUCAGACAGCACACAGAAUCCCCCGAAGCCAUUCAAGUCCUGGCCAAACCAACCAACGUCCCCGAUGAAGCAUGGUGGUAUACAUGUUGGUGUUUCCUUAUUUGUUAAGUCAAAGAAAUUUAUUAAGCAACUAUGUUGUGGAAAUUGCCCAAGAAUCAACAAAGAUAAAAUUCAGAGAAAAUAAACAAACAGAAAAACACAAGAAUUUACGUGGUUUGGCCUCUUGCUUACGUCCACGGAGUGAAACUGUUCUUCUAUUAUUGAGAAUUUAAAAUACAAUAAAUUGACUUUUAUGGUUCCCCAAAACAACCUAAGAUCCCUUGCACACUCUUCCUCAAUAACCUCUCAAGAACAUUCACUCAAACCACUCUAGCUCCACUUAGAGCAAAAGAUAGAGUUACAAGAUGUUCCAUCUCUAGAGCUCUCAAAGCAUUACUUACAAUUCUAAAGCCUAGAAAUCCACUUUUAUAGUAUAAAAGUCCAAAGUAGAAUGUGAUUAGGAUUCGAUGUGGAAUAAGAAGUUUAAAAUCCCAUACAACUACUUAAUGUUGUAUACAAACAAAAAUCCUAAUCAAAUAAAAUCUAGAAUUCUAGUCAACCUAAAACUAAACAAAUCUCCACCUUUGACUUGAAUUCAAACUCUUUAAACCUCUUCCACUAGUCGCACCUUAAUUGUAACUUCCUAACUCCACCUACUUUUCAACACCUUGAACAACUCUCCAAGCAUAAGAUUUUCUAAAUCAUUGACCUUUAUAAUUACCACGACUACACAUACCAAAUCAAGUAUGGUCCAACACUUGAUUCCACAAAACGGCUAAUGCACCUGUGUAGCCGUCAAGUUAAUGGCACUAAUUGACUUCGGAAAGGGACCUCGACAACCCUUCCAAUUCACUACUGGCAAGAUUUUUCGUCCUUUCAUCAUCGUCUACACCAUGGGAACCUUUCAUCACCUCCUCGGCAAAUGAAAUCUCACUUUGGUAGCUACCAUCCCCUGUGCAUUGUUCCCAUCCUUUCGAGGCCUCAAAUUCUAGAUGAUACAAGCCAUUAUGCAAAUUCCCCCUCAUCAAGACCGUGUCGCCUUGUGUGACUUUUACGACUCCAUCACAAGUAGAAUAUCCAUACCCUUUGGAGUCUAACAGACUCAAUGAUAUUAGAUUCUUACGCAUCUUUGGGACAUAGGCUACACCACCCAAAGAGCGCACAACCCCAUUAAACAUUUUGAUUUUCACCACUCCAAUACCCAUGACCUUCACUAUUGACUUAUUACCCAAAGUCAAAUUCUCAGCCACCCCUUCUUGAAGUAAAUCAAAAAAAUCCUUUUGAUAACAUAUGUGAGUAGCAGAAGCAGAAUCUAAAUACUAAUUAGAAUUUGCAUCCAUAUUUUUUGAAAUUGUAAGAACAUCACAAUCAUCACCUUCAGUAACGAAAGCAAACUCACCUUUGUUCUCGUUACUUUCAUCCCCUUUUAUAGGACAAUCCCUUUUAAUAUGCCCAUACCCUUUUCAUUUAAAGCAUUGAACAUUGUUGGAUCUAGACUUGCCACCCUUAGAUCCUUUACUAGUUGACUUUCUCCUAUUAGCCUCAAUUACUAAUACCAAGCCAUUUGGAUCUCUAUCCCAUUCUUUACUUUUCUUUCGGGCUUCACAAGACAUUAACGUUACUUGUGCUUGUUUUAACAUUAUUGUAUCCAUCCCAUAAAUUAGAGAUUCCACAAAUACCUUAUAGGAGUUUGGAAGCGAAGCCAAGAACAAUAGUAUAUUUUCCUCUUCCUCCACCUUGACGUCAACCUUCUUCAACUGAUCAAAGAUUCCAUCGAAUUCAUUCAUAUGCUUCAUAAGGUCUCCAUUCUGCUUCAUCUUUAAGUGAUACAACUUUCGCCUAAGCUGCAACUUGUUAGAAAGACUUUUCGUCAAGUAAAUUUUCUCUUUAACUUUGCCCAUAAUCUUAGAGCAGAAUCCUCAUCAAUAACAUGAUUAAACACAUUAUCUCCAAUGCAAAGCCGAAUAGUGCUCACACACCUUUGCUCCAACUCUGCCCAUUCAACAUCCUUCAUGUCAUCUGGUUGCCCUUCCUCAUUUCCUAGCAAGGGGCGCAUUAAACCUUGCUGUACAAGGAGAUCUUUCAUCAUUCUCUGCCACUGCGUGAAACUAGUCUUCCCAUCAAACUUCUUAAUUGAAAAAUUCACAGAACUAGUAACUUUCGACAUCCUUGUUGAAUCUUGAAUUUACCGAACCUGAAGCUCUGAUACCAGUUUGUUGUGAAAAUUGUCCAAGAAUCAACAAAGAUAAAAUUCAGAGAAAAUAAGCAAACAGAAAAACACAAGAAUUUACGUGGUUUGGCCUCUUGCCUACGUCCACGGAGUGAAACUGUUCUUCUAUUAUUGAGAAUUUAAAGUACAAUAAAUUGACAUUUAUGGUUUCCCAAAAUAACCUAAGAUCCCUUGCAUACUCUUCGUCAAUAACCUCCCAAGAACAUUCACUCAAACCACUCUAGCUCCACCUAGAGCAAAAGAUAGAGUUACAAGAUGUUCCUUUUCUAGAGCUCUCAAAGCACUACUUACAAUUCUAAAGCCUAGAAAUCUACUUUUAUAGUAUAAAAGUCCAAAGUAGAAUGUGAUUAGUAUUCGAUGUGGAAUAAGAAGUUUAAAACCAUACAACUAUUUAAUAUUGUAUACAAACAAAAAUCCUAAUCAAAUAAGAUCUAGAAUUCUAGUCAACUUAAAACUCAACAAACUAAGAUGUUACAAAAUUAGUAAACAAUUAACAAAGCAAAAACAAAAUUCUAUGCAAAUUCAAACUCGAAAUCUACUUGAAAUUACCUAAACCCGAAGUGACAUAACUUGCCCAAUCGCCAUGAAGCUUUGAAAUAAAUCUAAUUCCAUCUCUACAAUUCCUUGAAGUUUUGAAAUAGUGAAUUUCUUUGAAGAGUUGUAUAUGAAUGCGUGGAUUCAGCCUCAUAAACUUUUGAGCUGAAAAUAGAGGUUGGAGCUUGGUUUAUUUCUGUUUCUUUGCCAUGAAGAGUCUUCAAAUUUAAUGGAAGAAGACUCCUUUUGGCAUAGCAGCUAGCUUUGGGCAGAGCCUGAACUGUACAAUUACAGAAGAAUCAAGCUGCUCAAAGAGCAAUUAGCAGCAUCCUCAGAAAAGAUAGCCCGCAAAACAAAAAUUGAGUUCAAGCUAAUUUAAUAAAUGAAAAAAGAAGAACAAAAUCUGACAGCGACGAGGACCAAAAUGGUUUUCCUAAAUAGAGAGGUGAACUAUUCCAGUCGUAGAAACUGACAAAGCAGGGCCUCAAAACCAGAAAGAAUCUCGCCCUGAAGCCUCCUAAAAGCAGUCAUCUCUCUUGAGCUUUCCUAAUAGCCAUCAAAACAAAGGUCCCCCUGCAAGCUUAAUCACCCGCCUCCUAUCCAUGAUCUGCACUCAUCUCUAUCAAGCUUACCCAACAAGACAUCACAUCUUCUUUGCCAUCCCCAUGCUACCAGGAAAAGGCAUCCGACAGCAAAACCGGAUCAUCCUCAUGAAGCACGACAUCACACAUCCCUCACCCAGCAUUUUGCCUCUGAGCAGGAAGAAGAGGCAUCGCGACAAAUCAAGAAGCCAUCAUUUCAGCCAAUCCAAAAUUCACAGAAAGAAAUCAAAAUUCCAGCUUGAAAGUGGAUCAGAAAAAGAAGAACUUGCUAUACCAACAGGACAUCGCAGUCGAAAGGGACGUCACGCUCCGGCAAACCAACGCUCCUCAAAUUCAAAACAAGCAAGAACAGUAGACCUACAAUGUAUCCAAACAGAAAUCAAGCACAUGAUUCCAGCACCCGAAAAUGG
Molecule: long non-coding RNA, 4184 nt
Filed under: Theobroma cacao (cacao)
Lineage: Eukaryota; Viridiplantae; Streptophyta; Magnoliopsida; Malvales; Malvaceae
Description: long non-coding RNA (TCAC_LNC000104)
Source: RNAcentral